GGCAGUGUGGUGCAGUGGUUGGAGCUUUGGACUAUGACUCUGAAGACCAGGGUUCAAAUCCCUAUUUGGCCA
Phrynosoma platyrhinos (Desert horned lizard) is the source of this 72-nucleotide non-coding RNA. The record is from the annotation of a GenBank genome assembly. NCBI's taxonomy places the organism in Eukaryota, Metazoa, Chordata, Lepidosauria, Squamata, Phrynosomatidae.